Picea glauca (white spruce) is the source of this 121-nucleotide non-coding RNA. The record is from Rfam. NCBI's taxonomy places the organism in Eukaryota, Viridiplantae, Streptophyta, Pinopsida, Pinales, Pinaceae.
GCAUGCCUACAACAUAGCAUUAAUGCACCAGAUCCCAUUAGAACUCUGCAUUUAAGCACACUCAAGCUAGAGUAGUACUGGGAUGGGUGACUGCCCAGGAAGUCCUAAUAUUUUACAUGCC